This 558-nucleotide ribosomal RNA is filed under the name uncultured bacterium. RNAcentral's name for it is "bacterial SSU rRNA". It matches the Rfam family "Bacterial small subunit ribosomal RNA", at positions 338 to 916 of the family's 1533-position model. The record is from RNAcentral.
CCUACGGGAGGCAGCAGUGGGGAAUCUUGCACAAUGGGGGAAACCCUGAUGCAGCGAUGCCGCGUGAGUGAAGAAGGCCUUUGGGUUGUAAAACUCUUUCGUCGGGGAAGAAAAUGACUGUACCCGAAUAAGAAGGUCCGGCUAACUUCGUGCCAGCAGCCGCGGUAAUACGAAGGGACCUAGCGUAGUUCGGAAUUACUGGGCUUAAAGAGUUCGUAGGUGGUUGAAAAAGUUAGUGGUGAAAUCCCAGAGCUUAACUCUGGAACUGCCAUUAAAACUUUUCAGCUAGAGUAUGAUAGAGGAAAGCAGAAUUUCUAGUGUAGAGGUGAAAUUCGUAGAUAUUAGAAAGAAUACCAAUUGCGAAGGCAGCUUUCUGGAUCAUUACUGACACUGAGGAACGAAAGCAUGGGUAGCGAAGAGGAUUAGAUACCCUCGUAGUCCAUGCCGUAAACGAUGUGUGUUAGACGUUGGAAAUUUAUUUUCAGUGUCGCAGGGAAACCGAUAAACACACCGCCUGGGGAGUACGACCGCAAGGUUAAAACUCAAAGGAAUUGACGG